UUUAAGAGAAUUACAGAUGCGUGAACUGGUCAGAGGUAGCGGGUGGAGUUGAACUGCAAGCUCUGGGGAUUCAGCUGGUGAGUGUGGUUUGAGCUUGGUCAAGUCAGUUGGACUCUGUGUUCCACGUGGCACUUAGCAAGUGUUGUGGGAUGCAGGUGUUCUUCGGGCUGACUCGCCAGUGCACUUUCUCAGAGUGGUCACCACGACCGGCAUCGUUGCCUGGCCGAUGGGGUUAAACCGGUUUUGCAUGGUCCUUGUGGCUGUGCUUGAUCGGGAUGGCAGGUAGCUCGUUGGCUUGCUUGCGGUUCGCCGUGAGCGUGGUUUUCGAGUGUAAUCAGCUGACCAAAUCGGUUCUGUGCAGUAUGUCGGAGACAGCGGCUAGUGCGCGUGCGUGCAUAGCUGGUUGGCGGGUCCGGGUUUGGUUGUCACGUUGCCUGUGUGUGCAGGCCUGAUGAUGGCUCGGAUUCGUUCGGCUGGCUGUUGCGUGCGUGUACGAUACACGGGGCCGAUAGUCUGUGGUGUAGUGGUAACUAUCCACCUGACCCGUCUUGAAAGGGGACCCAAGG
This 566-nucleotide ribosomal RNA is filed under the name Paralecithodendrium chilostomum. Its description in RNAcentral is "partial 28S ribosomal RNA". The record is from RNAcentral. Lineage: Eukaryota; Metazoa; Platyhelminthes; Trematoda; Plagiorchiida; Lecithodendriidae.